CCAGCACCUUAUGGUAUAUAUCAACAAAGAAUGACCUCACUUUGCUGUAUAGAAAGUCUCAUUAGUACGGAAGCAUAUAUGAAUUUCCUGGGUCAAGACUGUUUGGGGUUUUGCUAGGUUAUGUUAGGUUAAGUUUAGGGUAUCUUCAAACACAUGAUAGCCAGCACCUUAUGGUAUAUAUCAACAAAGAAUGACCUCACUUUGCUGUAUAGAAAGUCUCAUUAGUACGGAAGCAUAUACGAAUUUUCUGGGUCAAGACUGUUUUGGGUUUUGCUAGGUUAUGUUAGGUUAAGUUUAGGGUAUCUUCAAACACAUGAUAGCCAGCACCUUAUGGUAUAAAUCAACAAAGAAUGACCUCACUUUGCUGUAUAGAGAGUCUCAUUAGUCAUUUGGUUAAACAUAUUCUUUGGUUGAUUUGGGGGUCACAUCAGAUAUCUUUUCGGUGGAUUUCGGGUUGAGUCAGACAUCUUUUUGGUUGAUUUUGGGUUAGGUUAGACAUAUUUUUGGUACGCUUAAAUGCCUGAGAACUCCUGCCAUAUACCCCUUACCAUUUA
Eriocheir sinensis (Chinese mitten crab) is the source of this 554-nucleotide long non-coding RNA. RefSeq lists it as uncharacterized. The record is from RefSeq and is a predicted model, not a curated record. NCBI's taxonomy places the organism in Eukaryota, Metazoa, Arthropoda, Malacostraca, Decapoda, Varunidae. The transcript has 4 exons.